RNAcentral lists this ribosomal RNA (232 nucleotides) under uncultured microorganism. RNAcentral's name for it is "partial 16S ribosomal RNA". It matches the Rfam family "Archaeal small subunit ribosomal RNA", at positions 330 to 561 of the family's 1478-position model. The record is from RNAcentral.
GCGCACCAGGCGCGAAACCUCCGCAAUACACGAAAGUGUGACGGGGCCAUCCCGAGUGCCGUCCGCUGAGGACGGCUUUUCCCCAGUGUACACAGCUGGGGGAAUAAGGAGAGGGCAAGCCUGGUGUCAGCCGCCGCGGUAAUACCAGCUCUCCGAGUGGUGGGGACGCUUAUUGGGCCUAAAGCACUCCGUACGCCGGCGUGGGACAACGUCCCUUACCGUUAAACUACCC